RNAcentral lists this ribosomal RNA (610 nucleotides) under uncultured bacterium. RNAcentral describes it as "bacterial SSU rRNA". It matches the Rfam family "Bacterial small subunit ribosomal RNA", at positions 299 to 905 of the family's 1533-position model. The record is from RNAcentral.
GGUGUCCGGCCACACUGGGACUGAGAUACGGCCCAGACUCCUACGGGAGGCAGCAGUGGGGAAUAUUGCACAAUGGGCGCAAGCCUGAUGCAGCGACGCCGCGUGGGGGAUGACGGCCUUCGGGUUGUAAACCUCUUUCACCAUCGGCGAAGCCGGGGGCUUUUGUUUCCGGUGACGGUAGGUGGAGAAGAAGCACCGGCCAACUACGUGCCAGCAGCCGCGGUAAUACGUAGGGUGCGAGCGUUGUCCGGAAUUACUGGGCGUAAAGAGCUCGUAGGUGGUUUGUCGCGUUGUCCGUGAAAUUCCCUGGCUUAACUGGGGGCGUGCGGGCGAUACGGGCAGACUGGAGUACUGCAGGGGAGACUGGAAUUCCUGGUGUAGCGGUGGAAUGCGCAGAUAUCAGGAGGAACACCGGUGGCGAAGGCGGGUCUCUGGGCAGUAACUGACGCUGAGGAGCGAAAGCGUGGGGAGCGAACAGGAUUAGAUACCCUGGUAGUCCACGCCGUAAACGGUGGGUACUAGGUGUGGGUUUCCUUCCUUGGGAUCCGUGCCGUAGCUAACGCAUUAAGUACCCCGCCUGGGGAGUACGGCCGCAAGGCUAAAACUCAAA